RNAcentral lists this ribosomal RNA (1453 nucleotides) under uncultured bacterium. RNAcentral's name for it is "bacterial SSU rRNA". It matches the Rfam family "Bacterial small subunit ribosomal RNA". The record is from RNAcentral.
GAUGAACGCUAGCGGCAGGCUUAACACAUGCAAGUCGGGCGGCAGCGGGGUGGGAGCUUGCUCCCACUGCCGGCGAGCGGCGCACGGGUGAGUAACACGUAUGCAACCUGCCCCUGUCAGGGGGACAACCCGCCGAAAGGCGGGCUAAGCCCGCGUAUAUCUCCCCGGGGCAUCCCGGGGGGAGGAAAGGAGCGAUCCGGACAGGGAUGGGCAUGCGGCGCAUUAGCUGGUCGGCGGGGUAACGGCCCACCGAGGCGACGAUGCGUAGGGGUUCUGAGAGGAAGGCCCCCCACACUGGUACUGAGACACGGACCAAACUCCUACGGGAGGCAGCAGUGAAGAAUAUUGGUCAAUGGGCGCUAGCCUGAACCAGCCAAGUAGCGUGAAGGAUGAAGGCUCUAUGGGUCGUAAACUUCUUUUAUAUAAGAAUAAAGUGCAGUAUGUAUACUGUUUUGUAUGUAUUAUAUGAAUAAGGAUCGGCUAACUCCGUGCCAGCAGCCGCGGUAAUACGGAGGAUCCGAGCGUUAUCCGGAUUUAUUGGGUUUAAAGGGAGCGUAGGUGGACUGGUAAGUCAGUUGUGAAAGUUUGCGGCUCAACCGUAAAAUUGCAGUUGAUACUGUCAGUCUUGAGUACAGUAGAGGUGGGCGGAAUUCGUGGUGUAGCGGUGAAAUGCUUAGAUAUCACGAAGAACUCCGAUUGCGAAGGCAGCUCACUGGACUGCAACUGACACUGAUGCUCGAAAGUGUGGGUAUCAAACAGGAUUAGAUACCCUGGUAGUCCACACAGUAAACGAUGAAUACUCGCUGUUUGCGAUAUACAGUAAGCGGCCAAGCGAAAGCAUUAAGUAUUCCACCUGGGGAGUACGCCGGCAACGGUGGAACUCAAAGGAAUUGACGGGGGCCCGCACAAGCGGAGGAACAUGUGGUUUAAUUCGAUGAUACGCGAGGAACCUUACCCGGGCUUAAAUUGCAGUGGAAUGAUGUGGAAACAUGUCAGUGAGCAAUCACCGCUGUGAAGGUGCUGCAUGGUUGUCGUCAGCUCGUGCCGUGAGGUGUCGGCUUAAGUGCCAUAACGAGCGCAACCCUUAUCUUUAGUUACUAACAGGUUAUGCUGAGGACUCUAGAGAGACUGCCGUCGUAAGAUGUGAGGAAGGUGGGGAUGACGUCAAAUCAGCACGGCCCUUACGUCCGGGGCUACACACGUGUUACAAUGGGGGGUACAGAAGGCAGCUAGCGGGUGACCGUAUGCUAAUCCCAAAAGCCUCUCUCAGUUCGGAUCGAAGUCUGCAACCCGACUUCGUGAAGCUGGAUUCGCUAGUAAUCGCGCAUCAGCCACGGCGCGGUGAAUACGUUCCCGGGCCUUGUACACACCGCCCGUCAAGCCAUGGGAGCCGGGGGUACCUGAAGUACGUAACCGCAAGGAUCGUCCUAGGGUAAAACUGGUGACUGGGGCU